Long non-coding RNA from Amphiprion ocellaris (clown anemonefish), 371 nucleotides. Lineage: Eukaryota; Metazoa; Chordata; Actinopteri; Pomacentridae. The record is from Ensembl.
UCUUGCUCGAACUUUAACCCAGUAAGAAGCAUCUUUUCUUCAGGGCGUCCCCACUCUGCUCAAAGAGAGAAACAGAGGCUGAGACAUGCUGUUUCUCUGCCCCCAAGUGGCCGAAAGCAUCAAUUAACGUGACUUUAACCGUCCUCUUCUGCAUCCAAAUCACACCCAGGUUUCAUGAACUCAAACCAGAUGUUCAGAGGGAGAUGAUGCCACAUCUGGUCCAGCUGAUGGAAGGUCUUGAAGUUCACUGACUGACCUCGACUGAAGAUGGUCGUCUCACUGGAUUUAAGAUGCACAAUGAGGGACGUCUGCAGAGACUGAGAAAGAGUCUCACCACAUCCUGACAUGAGGAAAAAGACUUUAUUGAAGAC